This 440-nucleotide ribosomal RNA is filed under the name uncultured bacterium. Its description in RNAcentral is "partial 16S ribosomal RNA". It matches the Rfam family "Bacterial small subunit ribosomal RNA", at positions 338 to 795 of the family's 1533-position model. The record is from RNAcentral.
CCUACGGGAGGCAGCAGUGGGGAAUAUUGCACAAUGGGGGAAACCCUGAUGCAGCGACGCCGCGUGAGCGAUGAAGUAUUUCGGUAUGUAAAGCUCUAUCAGCAGGGAAGAACAUGACGGUACCUGACUAAGAAGCACCGGCUAACUACGUGCCAGCAGCCACGGUAAUACGUAGGGGGCAAGCGUUAUCCGGAUUUACUGGGUGUAAAGGGAACGUAGACGGCGGUGCAAGCCAGAUGUGAAAGCCCGGUGCUCAACCCCGGGACUGCAUUUGGAACUGGGCUGCUAGAGUGUCGGAGAGGCAGGCGGAAUUCCUAGUGUAGCGGUGAAAUGCGUAGAUAUUAGGAGGAACACCAGUGGCGAAGGCGGCCUGCUGGACCAUGACUGACGUUGAGGCUCGAAAGCGUGGGGAGCAAACAGGAUUAGAUACCCGAGUAGUC